Bufo bufo (common toad) is the source of this 1282-nucleotide long non-coding RNA. RefSeq lists it as uncharacterized. The record is from RefSeq and is a predicted model, not a curated record. The transcript is spliced from 3 exons. Lineage: Eukaryota; Metazoa; Chordata; Amphibia; Anura; Bufonidae.
CAAUAUCCCCCUCCGCAGCCCAUGACAUCAUGGGUCACACACCGCGGCACGACAUCCAGUCUCACAGUCACUUCUGACGACACAAACAUAUUAAAUAAUAAAAAAAAAAAUCCUGAAUUGUGACUCGGGGUCCACGGGGAGAAGAGUCCAUUGGUCUUUACCCGGAGACGUCUGUAAUUCCUGAGACUCAUCUCCUCAUGGAGAAGACAACAGCAAUGACCUGAGUAGUGCAGAGGUGCGAGGUGCCUUCUGAUCGGCCACCCUCCGGGGACCUGGUUUACGCUUCUACGUGGAAAGCAUCAUCCGGCCAUCACCCAGAACGUGCUUCCCGGACCGAAUACACCUGAGAGAAACCGGCCUAAGAAAGUGAGGUAGAUCUGAGGGGGCGCCCCUGUACUGGUGAGGGGAGGGGCUGGCACUGGGCGGAGGACGCCCCUGUACUGGUGAGGGGAGGGGCUGGCACUGGGCGGAGGACGCCCCUGUACUGGUGAGGGGCUGGCACUGGGCAGAGGACGCCCCUGUACUGGUAAGGUGAGGGGGCUGGCACUGGGCGGAGGACGCCCCUGUACUGGUGAGGGGCUGGCACUGGGUGGAGGACGCCCCUGUACUGGGGAGGGGCUGGCACUGGGCAGAGGACGCCCCUGUACUGGUAAGGUGAGGGGGCUGGCACUGGGCAGAGGACGCCCCUGUACUGGUAAGGUGAGGGGGCUGGCACUGGGCAGAGGACGCCCCUGUACUGGUGAGGGGCUGGCACUGGGUGGAGGACGCCCCUGUACUGGUGAGGGGGAUCUCUGAAUAACCUACAGUAUAAAUUUAGAUAAAAUUCGGUAAAUCCCCUAUACUUCAAUCACACCCAAAGCUGCAGUCCCAAUUCUCCUCGCGCUCAGGCAGCUCUUCUGGGAGUAUCUGUGAUCACAGCCCAGAUGGAUUUCAAGUAUCAUCGGCAUAAUGGGAAGUACAGCUCUGGAGGUGACCGAGUGGAAGAUUUGAUGUAACAGCAGAGUUGUCAUUGCAGCUUUGGAGAUGACUGGAGUAUGAGACAUGAUGUGAUGCUCAGAAGCCCUUUCCUGUGGCCCCCAUAAAUAAGAGGACACUCUAUGGCCGCAUAAAGGGACCGCUCUGGGGCCCCCACAGGCGGCGCUCGUUUUGCCGCUGGUUCACUUUACUGCACCUUGUUCCCCUGUUACAAGAUGUGGCUGUUACACUACAGUCACAUCAAGAGCUGCAAUCAUAAUUCUGCACCGGGAAAUGUGGGGUUCAGCAGACUGUGACCAUCAUGCUG